This 641-nucleotide ribosomal RNA is filed under the name uncultured bacterium. Its description in RNAcentral is "bacterial SSU rRNA". It matches the Rfam family "Bacterial small subunit ribosomal RNA", at positions 1 to 641 of the family's 1533-position model. The record is from RNAcentral.
GAAUUCGCCCUUGUUUGAUCCUGGCUCAGGAUGAACGCUGGCGGCGUGCUUAACACAUGCAAGUCGAACGGGAAACCUUUUAUUGAAGCUUCGGCAGAUUUAGAUUGUUUCUAGUGGCGGACGGGUGAGUAACGCGUGGGUAACCUGCCUUAUACAGGGGGAUAACAGUCAGAAAUGACUGCUAAUACCGCAUAAGCGCACAGAGCUGCAUGGCUCAGUGUGAAAAACUCCGGUGGUAUAAGAUGGACCCGCGUUGGAUUAGCUAGUUGGUGAGGUAACGGCCCACCAAGGCGACGAUCCAUAGCCGGCCUGAGAGGGUGAACGGCCACAUUGGGACUGAGACACGGCCCAGACUCCUACGGGAGGCAGCAGUGGGGAAUAUUGCACAAUGGGGGAAACCCUGAUGCAGCGACGCCGCGUGAAGGAAGAAGUAUCUCGGUAUGUAAACUUCUAUCAGCAGGGAAGAAAAUGACGGUACCUGACUAAGAAGCCCCGGCUAACUACGUGCCAGCAGCCGCGGUAAUACGUAGGGGGCAAGCGUUAUCCGGAUUUACUGGGUGUAAAGGGAGCGUAGACGGAUGGACAAGUCUGGUGUGAAAGGCUGGGGCUCAACCCCGGGACUGCAUUGGAAACUGCCCGUC